AAAAAGUCCCGCCUGCCCACUGAGGGUUAAAGGGCUGCGGUAAUUUGACCGUGCGAAGGUAGCAUAAUCAAUAGUCUUUUAAUUGAAGACUGGAAUGAACGGCGCCACGAGAAAUAAGCUGUCUUGCUUGUAUAAGUUGAAUUUUACUUUUAAGUGAAAAGGCUUAAAUAUUAUUAAGUGACGAUAAGACCCUAUAAAACUUAACAUGGUUAGGUAUUUCUGAGGUUAAAUAGGAGGCAAAAUUUCUUUAAGCCUGUUUGGUUGGGGCGACCUAGAUAUAAUAAGUAGCUGUUUAAAAAUAUAAAUAAUUAUAAUUUGUGAUAUGAACCUUUAAUAAGGAUUAAGAAAUUAAGUUACUUUAGGGAUAACAGCGCAAUUUUCUCAGAGAGCUCUUAUCGAAGAGACUAGUUGCGACCUCGAUGUUGAAUUAAAAUUUCUUUUAAAUGUAGCAGUUUAAUAAGUGGGUCUGUUCGACCUU
Molecule: ribosomal RNA, 478 nt
Filed under: Hippolyte ventricosa
Lineage: Eukaryota; Metazoa; Arthropoda; Malacostraca; Decapoda; Hippolytidae
Description: partial 16S ribosomal RNA
Rfam family: Bacterial large subunit ribosomal RNA
Source: RNAcentral